CCUCAGCUGAUUUCGCCCACCGUCCGCCCGAUGCUCCACACUUUGCCGUAACUCAAUCUGCCGGUUCUCCGCUUGAGGUACGUACUGAAGCUAACCUUGCAAGAGGAAGGCAUGGGAGGCAUGAUUGUUGCUGAAGCGGAACUCAUAAAUGUCUCACGUCAUGUGGUUCUGUGCUAUUCUUAAUCUUCUUCUCUGAAGUGUGUAGUUUCAGUUUCACAUCAAAUGUGUUGCGCUUGCAGUGCGUACCAAUGUACAGUUUACCAAUGUGUAUAUAUGCGGAGUCGAUGGAAAACAUUGAAGCCAGUAGUUGUAUACCUAUUUCAAAAAUCAGCAAGUGGUUAGUAACAUUCUACAUAAAGGUAUUACAGAGAGAUAGGAGUAUCUCCUAUUUUAUUUUUGUGGGAUUGGGAGCAAUUUAGAAACUUAUGAAAAUAUAGGAAUCAUUCUCACUUUAAUCUCCAGUCCUCUUGUUUUGCUUCAUUUAUCAUGCAUUAUGCAUGUCAUAUGUUCCCACAAAUGCCUGGCAGAAGCACAACUUUCAUAGGGAACGUAGAAUGGUCACUUUGGUAGCAGGGCAGAUGCACGUUCCCAGUGUAUAUGUAAAAUUAUAUGCAUAUCUAGCCAUAGAAAUACAUGCAUCUGAACCGCAUCGGACAUAGUGUCGGACUGUCAGCCUAAAAUAUUCCUCUUUAUAUCGUUCUCCAUUUCUGUAAAUAUGCAAAUAUAAGUGCCAUGUAUGUGCUUGUGGAACUUUUGCUGUAAAAUUUCACGCUUCUUUACAAAAAGUAGGUUGAAGAAAGUUUUGAUUUUUCUUGGAUAGGUUAUCAUAUGACAGAACGUCUGGGGUGAAAGCUAAGCUACUUCCAAUGGUAAGAAUUGAAAUCUGGAUGAAACCUCCAUUAUUUGUUUUAUAUAUUUUUAGAUACAUGAGAGAACUAAUGAUAUUUUUAGACUGUAGAACAACCCUUUCAAGGAUUCUCUCUCUAUGAGCAUAUAUAUUGCCUCAGCUUAUAUCCAUUGCCGCACGCAUGGGCGUGUCAGUAGCAUUACUUUGAUAAUAUGUCUAUAUCACUGUAAUGUUGGAUAUAAGUUCUGCUACAUCCAAACAAGCUUAUCUGAUUUCCAAGAAGAGUAAAAAACAAUCUUUAGUAAUUUCCUGGAUUUUGCUUAUAUCACUGUAAUGUUGGAUAAUAAGUUCUUAAUACAUUUGGAGCAUCUACUCUCUGGUAAGGAGUCAUGAGGAAGACUAUAUUUUUAGUUGACAUUGUAAAUGAUUUUAAUGGCCACGAUUUUUUUUCUUGUUUCUUUUCAGGUCCCAAAUGAGAAGGCAAGAAGGUAUCAGCUGUAUGAGAAGACCCCCGCCCAUGCCCAUUCCAUUCUCUAUGAAGUCAAAAGUUUCCCACUGAAUAUAUUUGGUACUAAAACGGUCGUUAUGUCAGCACCACGAUCGUGUGCCUAUUGUUGGCUCUUAAUUCUUUAGGAUUAUUUGAUUUGUUUGAUUCAUUCUGUUCAUAUUUAUGCAGCAACAAAAUACAUUCAAGAUCAGGGUGUGUGAGGGUUAAACAUGUUAAUUUAUGUGGCAUCAAGCUAUGUAUGUUGAUAGCAUGAUCUCCUUUUCUUUUGCUUUG
Molecule: long non-coding RNA, 1628 nt
Filed under: Triticum aestivum (bread wheat)
Lineage: Eukaryota; Viridiplantae; Streptophyta; Magnoliopsida; Poales; Poaceae
Description: long non-coding RNA (TAES_LNC002506)
Source: RNAcentral